RNAcentral lists this ribosomal RNA (541 nucleotides) under Polychrus jacquelinae (Jacquelines bush anole). RNAcentral describes it as "partial 16S ribosomal RNA". It matches the Rfam family "Bacterial large subunit ribosomal RNA", at positions 1814 to 2604 of the family's 2925-position model. Lineage: Eukaryota; Metazoa; Chordata; Lepidosauria; Squamata; Polychrotidae. The record is from RNAcentral.
CAUAGCCUUUAGCCCCAACCGUAUUAAAGGUAACGCCUGCCCAGUGACACACUUAAACGGCCGCGGUAUCCUAACCGUGCAAAGGUAGCGUAAUCACUUGUCCCCCAAAUAGGGACCAGUAUGAACGGCUAAAUGAAGAUUAAACUGUCUCCUAUGACUAAUCAGUGAAACUGAUCUCCCAGUACAAAAGCUGGGAUGAACACAUAAGACGAGAAGACCCUGUGGAGCUUAAAAUUAAAACCACCCACACAAAAUCAACAUGUGUACCUAUGGCCCACAAUUUUAAGUUGGGGCGACUUCGGAACCAAACAAAACUUCCGAGCAAAAGAGCAUCCCUCGUACCAAGGCUAACACGCCUAAGCACAAACUGACCCAGUCAUACUGACCAACGAACCAAGUUACCCCAGGGAUAACAGCGCUAUCUUCUUCAAGAGUCCCUAUCGCCAAGAAGGUUUACGACCUCGAUGUUGGAUCAGGACACCCAAAUGGUGCAGCCGCUAUUAAAGGUUCGUUUGUUCAACGAUUAACAGUCCUACGUGAU